UUAUAUUUGAUAAGAGGCCAAGUGGUAUUUAAUAGAAUGACCUGAGGUGAGGCCAAGACAACACUAUUUUAGUGGAAAUUAUAACUCCGACUCUGAAACACUAAGUGAAGCACAGAAAUAAACAGCUAUAAAAGAGGCAAAUGGGAUUGAACCCAAUUCUAACUAACUGC
RNAcentral lists this long non-coding RNA (170 nucleotides) under Fukomys damarensis (Damara mole-rat). RNAcentral's name for it is "lncRNA (ENSFDAG00000026636.1)". The record is from RNAcentral. Lineage: Eukaryota; Metazoa; Chordata; Mammalia; Rodentia; Bathyergidae.